GAAAAAUUAGUUAAUUUAUAACAUAGUCUUGUCAAGACUAAAUUACUAUUAUAGUAUUUUUCU
RNAcentral lists this transfer RNA (63 nucleotides) under Phascolopsis gouldii. Its description in RNAcentral is "tRNA-Asp". Lineage: Eukaryota; Metazoa; Annelida; Sipuncula; Golfingiida; Sipunculidae. The record is from RNAcentral.